This 72-nucleotide transfer RNA is filed under the name Rhexocercosporidium sp. MPI-PUGE-AT-0058. It matches the Rfam family "tRNA". From Rfam's summary of the family: Transfer RNA (tRNA) molecules are approximately 80 nucleotides in length. Their secondary structure includes four short double-helical elements and three loops (D, anti-codon, and T loops). RNAcentral also lists the same sequence under 3 other names. The record is from Rfam by way of RNAcentral. Lineage: Eukaryota; Fungi; Ascomycota; Leotiomycetes; Helotiales.
GGGCUACUGGCCCAAUGGCAAGGCGUUUGACUUCGAAUCAAAAGAUUGUAGGUUCGACCCCUGCGUGGCUCA